Molecule: ribosomal RNA, 1453 nt
Filed under: metagenome
Description: bacterial LSU rRNA
Rfam family: Bacterial large subunit ribosomal RNA
Source: RNAcentral
UUGGUUGUCCAUGUUCAAGCGAGUAGGAAGGGGUCUUAGGCAAAUCCGGGGCCCUAUAUUCUGAGACGUGAUGACGAGCUGACAUUUAUGUUGGCGAAGUUGUUGAUGCCAGACUUCCAGGAAAAGCUUCUAAGCUUCAGGUAAAAGACGACCGUACUGUAAACCGACACAGGUGAUCUGGUAGAGAAUACCAAGGCGCUUGAGAGAACUUGGGUGAAGGAACUAGGCAAAAUGGUACCGUAACUUCGGGAGAAGGUACGCUCCUCGACGUGAAGUAUUUACUACGUAAGCGUUGGGGAGUCGAAGAAACCAGGUAGCUGCAACUGUUUAUUAAAAACACAGCACUCUGCAAACACGUAAGUGGACGUAUAGGGUGUGACGCCUGCCCGGUGCCGGAAGGUUAAUUGAUGGGGUCAGCGCAAGCGAAGCUCUUGAUCGAAGCCCCGGUAAACGGCGGCCGUAACAAUAACGGUCCUAAGGUAGCGAAAUUCCUUGUCGGGUAAGUUCCGACCUGCACGAAUGGCGUAAUGAUGGCUACACUGUCUCCACCCAAGACUCAGUGAAAUUGAAAUCGCUGUUAAGAUGCAGUGUACCCGCGGCUAGACGGAAAGACCCCGUGAACCUUUACUAUAGCUUCACAUUGGACUUUGAUAUUACUUGUGUAGGAUAGCUGGGAGGCUUUGAAGCAUGAUCGCCAGAUUGUGUGGAGCCGUCCUUGAAAUACCAGCCUGGUGAUGUCGGGGUUCUAACUCUGACCCGUAAUCCGGGUUGAGGACAAUGUGUGGUGGGUAGUUUGACUGGGGCGGUCUCCUCCCAAAGAGUAACGGAGGAGCACGAAGGUACGCUAAUGACGGUCGGAAAUCGUCAGGUUUGUGCAUAGGCAUAAGCGUGCUUGACUGCGAGAGUGACAACUCGAGCAGGUGCGAAAGCAGGUCUAAGUGAUCCGGUGGUUCUGAAUGGAAGGGCCAUCGCUCAACGGAUAAAAGGUACUCCGGGGAUAACAGGCUGAUACCGCCCAAGAGUUCACAUCGACGGCGGUGUUUGGCACCUCGAUGUCGGCUCAUCACAUCCUGGGGCUGAAGCCGGUCCCAAGGGUAUGGCUGUUCGCCAUUUAAAGUGGUACGCGAGCUGGGUUUAGAACGUCGUGAGACAGUUCGGUCCCUAUCUGCCGUGGGCGUUGGAGAUUUGAGAAGAGUUGUUCCUAGUACGAGAGGACCGGAAUGAACGAACCUCUGGUGUUCGGGUUGUCACGCCAGUGGCAUUGCCCGGUAGCUAUGUUCGGACGGGAUAACCGCUGAAAGCAUCUAAGCGGGAAGCCCCCUUCGAGACUAGAUCUCCCUGGGACUUUAAGUCCCCUAAAGAGCCGUUGGAGACUACGACGUUGAUAGGCUGGGUGUGUAAGUGGAGUGAUCCAUUGAGCUAACCAGUACUAAUUGCUCGUGUGGCUUGACAU